RNAcentral lists this ribosomal RNA (502 nucleotides) under uncultured bacterium. RNAcentral's name for it is "partial 16S ribosomal RNA". It matches the Rfam family "Bacterial small subunit ribosomal RNA", at positions 28 to 523 of the family's 1533-position model. The record is from RNAcentral.
GAUGAACGCUAGCGGCAGGCCUAACACAUGCAAGUCGAGGGGCAGCACAGAAACAGCAAUGUUUUGGUGGCGACCGGCGGACGGGUGCGUAACGCGUAUGCAACCUACCUUUAACAGGGGGAUAACGGAGAGAAAUUUCCACUAAUACCCCAUAACAUCGAUCAAGGCAUCUUGAUUGGUUGAAAACUCCGGUGGUUAAAGAUGGGCAUGCGUUGUAUUAGGUAGUUGGUGAGGUAAUGGCUCACCAAGCCUACGAGACAUAGGGGGACUGAGAGGUUAGCCCCCCACACUGGUACUGAGACACGGACCAGACUCCUACGGGAGGCAGCAGUGAGGAGUAUUGGUCAAUGGGGGCAACCCUGAACCAGCCAUGCCGCGUGCAGGAAGACGGCUCUAUGAGUUGUAAACUGCUUUUAAACAGGGAUAAAGCACAGUAUGUAUACUGUGUUGAAGGUACUGUAAGAAUAAGGAUCGGCUAACUCCGUGCCAGCCGCCGCGGUAA